Small nucleolar RNA from Struthio camelus australis, 67 nucleotides. Its record names the gene SNORD58. It matches the Rfam family "Small nucleolar RNA SNORD58". From Rfam's summary of the family: snoRNA U58 is found in introns 1, 3 and 6 of the ribosomal protein RPL17 gene in humans. U58 is a member of the C/D class of snoRNA which contain C (UGAUGA) and D (CUGA) box motifs. Lineage: Eukaryota; Metazoa; Chordata; Aves; Struthioniformes; Struthionidae. The record is from Ensembl.
CUGCGGUGAUGACUCUCUUAGGACACCUUUGGAUUUAAUCGUGAAAAGAAAUGAGCUUCUGAGCAGC